RNAcentral lists this ribosomal RNA (439 nucleotides) under uncultured bacterium. RNAcentral's name for it is "partial 16S ribosomal RNA". It matches the Rfam family "Bacterial small subunit ribosomal RNA", at positions 339 to 795 of the family's 1533-position model. The record is from RNAcentral.
CUACGGGGCGCUGCAGUGGGGAAUAUUGCACAAUGGAGGAAACUCUGAUGCAGCAACGCCGCGUGGAGGAUGACACUUUUCGGAGCGUAAACUCCUUUUAUAUAGGAAGAAGAUGACGGUACUAUAUGAAUAAGCGCCGGCUAACUCCGUGCCAGCAGCCGCGGUAAUACAGAGGGCGCAAGCGUUACUCGGAAUCACUGGGCGUAAAGAGCGUGUAGGCGGAUUAAAAAGUCAGAAGUGAAAUCCUAUAGCUUAACUAUAGAACUGCUUCUGAAACUCUUAAUCUAGAAUAUGGGAGAGGUAGAUGGAAUUUCUGGUGUAGGGGUAAAAUCCGUAGAGAUCAGAAGGAAUACCGAUUGCGAAGGCGAUCUACUAGAACAUUAUUGACGCUGAGACGCGAAAGCGUGGGGAGCAAACAGGAUUAGAUACCCCUGUAGUC